GUUGGUGGAGUGAUUUGUCUGGUUAAUUCCGUUAACGAACGAGACCUUAACCUGCUAAAUAGGGGCGGGAAAUUUUUUUUCUCGGCUCACUUCUUAGAGGGACUUUGCGUGUUUCUAACGCAAGGAGGUUUGAGGCAAUAACAGG
This 145-nucleotide ribosomal RNA is filed under the name uncultured eukaryote. RNAcentral's name for it is "partial small subunit ribosomal RNA". It matches the Rfam family "Eukaryotic small subunit ribosomal RNA", at positions 1297 to 1460 of the family's 1831-position model. The record is from RNAcentral.